GUGGGGAAUUUUGGACAAUGGGCGCAAGCCUGAUCCAGCAAUGCCGCGUGCAGGAAGAAGGCCUUCGGGUUGUAAACUGCUUUUGUACGGAACGAAAAGGUCUGGGUUAAUACCCUGGGCUCAUGACGGUACCGUAAGAAUAAGCACCGGCUAACUACGUGCCAGCAGCCGCGGUAAUACGUAGGGUGCGAGCGUUAAUCGGAAUUACUGGGCGUAAAGCGUGCGCAGGCGGUUUUGUAAGACAGGCGUGAAAUCCCCGGGCUCAACCUGGGAAUGGCACUGGUGACUGCAAAGCUGGAGUGCGGCAGAGGGGGAUGGAAUUCCGCGUGUAGCAGUGAAAUGCGUAGAUAUGCGGAGGAACACCGAUGGCGAAGGCAAUCCCCUGGGCCUGCACUGACGCUCAUGCACGAAAGCGUGGGGAGCAAACAGGAUUAGAUACCCUGGUAGUCC
RNAcentral lists this ribosomal RNA (450 nucleotides) under uncultured bacterium. RNAcentral describes it as "partial 16S ribosomal RNA". It matches the Rfam family "Bacterial small subunit ribosomal RNA", at positions 354 to 796 of the family's 1533-position model. The record is from RNAcentral.